Dreissena polymorpha is the source of this 2146-nucleotide long non-coding RNA. RefSeq lists it as uncharacterized. The record is from RefSeq and is a predicted model, not a curated record. The transcript is spliced from 4 exons. NCBI's taxonomy places the organism in Eukaryota, Metazoa, Mollusca, Bivalvia, Myida, Dreissenidae.
GGGAUGACCAUGCUCUCUUGCUACCCGGUCCGCGGACGUGUGCAGACGUGUUCCCUAAGGUAAGUAUUGCCAGGAGGAUACAUGCCCUGAUGUAAGUAUUUCCAGGAGGAUAUAUAAGUGUAUUAGCCUGUGACGUAAGUAUUAGCCUGUGACUUAGUGUCUUGCCCUGGAGGUUUAGCCUGUGCGUGGGGUAGGUAUUCCCAGGAGGAUCGGUGGUGUGCAGCCGACGACGACAGCAGACGAGUAUUUCCCUCGAAGUGUGUACUGCCGAGGACGACGUCUGCCAUCCUGACAAGGUUUACAGUCGAUGCUCAUUUGAGUGUAUUAGAUAAGUGUCGGUGUUAUUAGUUGCUGAAAUUGCAGGCAAAACCCUCUGAAGAGCUAACCGAAAUAAACACCACAGUAUUUAUGUUUGAUAACGUUAAAUAUAUUCGUUUUAUCAUUAUCUGCAUUAAAAUUAAACGUCCAAGGGAAAUGAAAUUUGUUAUGUUGGGAUAAAUAAUUCGUUAAAUAGGUUCAUUGACAUUGUGUCAAAAUGGCCUAUGUCAACACACAUGACGCCUCUGUCUUUGACAGCUUUGGUUUGAACUUUGAAGACCUUUCUUGGAAGAAAACCACCUGGGAUACCUACUUGGCGACUCUGGCUAUUCGUUAAAAAAAUAUGUAUAAACGCCCUUGCUUAGGCCAACAACAGAUGCAGUGGUGAGGUUCAACAAUGCCCAGUCAAGUUGUUGGAUUGUGGUUGAGAGGGCUUUUGGACUGCUGAUAGUAGAUUAAGGUGUCUACAUAAAACUGAGGGCGUUUAUUCUUGAGACUCGAUGAUUGCUGUCAAGCAGUGGAUGCAUGAAUGCGCCUACACAACUUAUGCAUAGAUCAGCAGGUACCACUGCCUGAACAACUUAUUGAGGCACAGGAAGUUGAUUAUGUUGUGCACGGUGCCCCGCAAUAGGAUAAAAUGCAGCACUUAUAGACAUGAUUAACUUAUUUAUGUAGGUGUUGUGUCAUGCUCACUUAUGCAUGAAGUGCUAUAGGUCAGCCAUUGUGGUCUGUCUAUGCCCGGCUUCAUGCAUUAUCCACAUUUGAUGCUAUGUUGAUGAAAGUUGGUCAUAAUGUUUUUGUUAAUAAUAUCUAGGCUAUCCUCAAGUGUGGUCAAAAUCUUUGUAAGAGUGUUAAUAUUGACAAGUUCUAUGUCAUUAUUUUUUGUUGAUUUUUAGCUCGACUCUUAUAUAUGAAAUAUAUAUAGUGGAGCUAUCCUACUCACCCCGGCGUCUGCAUUAGCGUUGGAAUGUUAAAGUUUGCGUACCACCUCAAAUAUUUCCUAUGUCCCUUGUUAUAUUGCUUUAAUAUUUUGCUUACUUCUUAACCAACAUGACCCCAACCUAUAAACAAGAGCGACAACUGUAGCAAGCAUUUUAUAAGAAUUAUUGCCCUUUUUUCACUUAGAAUAUGCAUAUUAUUGAUAUAUCUAUGCUAAGUUUGCGUACCACCUUCAAUAUUUUCAAUGUCCCUUGACAUAUUGCUUUCAUAUUUUGCAUACUUCUUUACCAACAUGACCCCAAUCUAUAAACAAGAGCAGACAACUGUAACAAGCAUUUUUUAAGAAUUAUGUCCCUCUUUCCACUUAGAAUAUGCAUAUUAUUGAUAAAUCUAUGUUAAAGUUUGCGUACCACCUCAAAUAUUUAUUAUGUACCUUGUCAUAUUUCUUUUAUAUUUUGCAUACUUCUUUACCAACAUGACCCCAAUCUGUUAACAAGAGCAGACAACUGUAUCAAGGAUUUUGUAAGAAUUAUGUUCCCUUUUUAUACUUUGAAUAUUUUUUUUUGGAAGUUUUGUAUUUAGGUUCACUUUAUUCCUAAAGUCUUUAUUCCUAAAGUAUCAAAGCUAUUGCUUUUAUACUUGCAACAAUUACUAACUAUCAUAAGGACAAUCAAAGUUAUUUGACUCUGACUGGCAUUUUGACAGAUUUAUGGCUCCUUUUUAUACUUAGAUAAUUUAAGAUUUGGUUAAGUUUUGUGUUUUGGUCCAUUUUCCCUGUAAAGUAUCAUAGCUAUUGCUUUCAGACUUGGAAAACUUACCUUUAAACUUACCUGACAUACCACAAUGGACUCCACCCAAACCAUCCCCAACGCCCCACCCCAGAAUCCCC